AGCAUAAAAAAAUCUAUGUUUCGGCCAUAGAAAGGAUAAUAAUAAAUUAUCUUAUGCUU
Molecule: transfer RNA, 59 nt
Filed under: Echeneibothrium multiloculatum
Lineage: Eukaryota; Metazoa; Platyhelminthes; Cestoda; Rhinebothriidea; Echeneibothriidae
Description: tRNA-Arg
Source: RNAcentral